GAAUCUUCCACAAUGGACGAAAGUCUGAUGGAGCAAUGCCGCGUGAGUGAAGAAGGUUUUCGGAUCGUAAAACUCUGUUGUGAGGGAAGAACAAGUAUGAGAGUAACUGCUCGUACCUUGACGGUACCUCAUUAGAAAGCCACGGCUAACUACGUGCCAGCAGCCGCGGUAAUACGUAGGUGGCAAGCGUUGUCCGGAAUUAUUGGGCGUAAAGCGCGCGCAGGCGGUCCUUUAAGUCUGAUGUGAAAUCCCACGGCUCAACCGUGGAAGGUCAUUGGAAACUGGGGAACUUGAAUGCAGAAGAGGAGAGUGGAAUUCCAUGUGUAGCGGUGAAAUGCGUAGAUAUAUGGAGGAACACCAGUGGCGAAGGCGACUCUCUGGUCUGUUAUUGACACUGAGGCUCGAAAGCGUGGGGAGCAAACA
RNAcentral lists this ribosomal RNA (423 nucleotides) under uncultured bacterium. Its description in RNAcentral is "bacterial SSU rRNA". It matches the Rfam family "Bacterial small subunit ribosomal RNA", at positions 359 to 774 of the family's 1533-position model. The record is from RNAcentral.